This 101-nucleotide microRNA precursor is filed under the name Marmota monax (woodchuck). The record is from RNAcentral. Lineage: Eukaryota; Metazoa; Chordata; Mammalia; Rodentia; Sciuridae.
AGUAAGAUUGCUGGGUCACAUGGUAAGCGUGUUUUACUUUGUAAGAAACUAUGUGAUUGUUUUCCAAAGUAGUUGUGUGAUUUUACAGUCUCACCAACAAU